UGGGGAAUAUUGCACAAUGGGCGCAAGCCUGAUGCAGCCAUGCCGCGUGUAUGAAGAAGGCCUUCGGGUUGUAAAGUACUUUCAGCGGGGAGGAAGGUGUUGUGGUUAAUAACCACAGCAAUUGACGUUACCCGCAGAAGAAGCACCGGCUAACUCCGUGCCAGCAGCCGCGGUAAUACGGAGGGUGCAAGCGGUAAUCGGAAUUAGUGGGCGUAAAGCGCACGCAGGCGGUCUGUCAAGUCGGAUGUGAAAUCCCCGGGCUCAACCUGGGAACUGCAUCCGAAACUGGCAGGCUUGAGUCUUGUAGAGGGGGGUAGAAUUCCAGGUGUAGCGGUGAAAUGCGUAGAGAUCUGGAGGAAUACCGGUGGCGAAGGCGGCCCCCUGGACAAAGACUGACGCUCAGGUGCGAAAGCGUGGGGAGCAAACA
This 427-nucleotide ribosomal RNA is filed under the name uncultured bacterium. RNAcentral's name for it is "partial 16S ribosomal RNA". It matches the Rfam family "Bacterial small subunit ribosomal RNA", at positions 355 to 774 of the family's 1533-position model. The record is from RNAcentral.